GACGAACGCUGGCGGCGUGCUUAACACAUGCAAGUCGAACGGAAAGGCCCUGCUUGCAGGGUACUCGAGUGGCGAACGGGUGAGUAACACGUGGGUGAUCUGCCCUGCACUUCGGGAUAAGCCUGGGAAACUGGGUCUAAUACCGGAUAGGAGCCAUUUUUAGUGUGAUGGUUGGAAAGUUUUUUCGGUGUAGGAUGAGCUCGCGGCCUAUCAGCUUGUUGGUGGGGUAAUGGCCUACCAAGGCGGCGACGGGUAGCCGGCCUGAGAGGGUGGACGGCCACAUUGGGACUGAGAUACGGCCCAGACUCCUACGGGAGGCAGCAGUGGGGAAUAUUGCACAAUGGGCGCAAGCCUGAUGCAGCGACGCCGCGUGGGGGAUGACGGCCUUCGGGUUGUAAACACCUUUCGCUAGGGACGAAGCUUUUUGUGACGGUACCUAGAUAAGAAGCACCGGCUAACUACGUG
Molecule: ribosomal RNA, 465 nt
Filed under: uncultured bacterium
Lineage: Bacteria
Description: partial 16S ribosomal RNA
Rfam family: Bacterial small subunit ribosomal RNA
Source: RNAcentral